UUGCUGCUGUAAGCUUGUGUGCAUAGGCUUGUCGCUCGCUUUUGGAAGGAUUUUGCGCUAUUAUGGUGACUUGUGUGGUGUUCGGAUGUACGAAUCGUUCUGAUUGUGAUGCGAAAUCGAAGGGAAUAACAUUUCAUGUAUUUCCUAAAAAUGAAAGUCGGAAAGCUCUGUGGAAGAAUGCCGUGAAGAGGAAGAAUUGCCGUGCGUGUAAAUGAAGCACUAUAUGUUCUCAGCAUUUCCGAGAAGAGGACAUAGACCGAACUUCCCUUUCAACAGUAAGGCUCCGAGAAAAUGCUGUACCAUCAGUUUUCCCUACACACCCAAAACAUUUGCAAAAGGGAGACAAGAAGAGAAAGCCACCAUUGCGGAAGGAGAGCUCUUCCUUUCCAUCUUCAGUUUUGGCUGCCGUCAGCAGAGUGCAGGAUGAAGUAGUUCCUGCUCUUGUUCCUGAGUACACUGCAGGACCACCAGAACGUAGUCAGACAUCCUCUGAAAGUGAGGAACUGAAGACAAAGUGUGAACACCUCAUAAGAAAAACUUAUCAGUACAAAAAACAAAUUAAAACUCUUCAGCAGUCUAAGCGAUGACUUAAGAAGAAAGUGGCUUCUUUGAGUGCUAUCAUUAAGGUACUGAAAGACAAGCAUCUUGUGGAUGAAAGUUCACUAAAUAUACUAGAAAGCAUACCUGGAAUGCAGAGAGACUUGCUGCAGCGACAAACUGCGAAAGCUGGGGCACAGGCUGUACCUAGGUCAUACAGCCCAGAACUGCGCUCCUUUGCCUUAACACUGCAUUUUAAUUCCCACAGGGCGUAUAAUUAUGUUAGGCGCUGUUUUAAUACAUGUUUGCCACACCCCAGAACAUUAACAAAGUGGUACCAGUGUGUGGGUGGAGCACCUGGCUUCAAAUCCGAGGCGUUUAAGGUAAUUACGGCAGAAGCUUGUCACCGUGAAACAAAGUUUCCAACUCUAUGUAGCUUGGUAGUUGAUGAAAUUGCCAUCAGGCAACAUGUAGAAUUUGAUGGUACAUGCUAUUACGGUUAUGUUGACAUAGGGUCAUCUGUAGACACAGAUAAUUUGCCCAUUGCCAAAGAAGCAUUUGUGCUCAUGCUUGUGGCUAUUAAUGCUUCUUGGAAGCUCCCAGUUGGAUAUUUCCUGACUGCUGGUAUAACUGGUGAGCAAAAAGCCGAGACAGUUAAACAGUGCAUUGAUCUUGCCAAUUCAAGUGGUGUGAAAGUUGUUUCACUCACAAGUGAUGGUUCAGCUAGAAAUUUGUCAAUGGCUAGAUGUUUAGGCUGAAAUCUCAAUUGUGAAACUUUGAAAAGUACUUUUUCAGUUGAAGGGAAUGAUCAUGUAAUGUCAUUUUUCCUAGACGCUCCACAUGUUGAAACUUGUGCGCAACGCUUUAGGAGAUAAAUUUCUUUGGGAUGAGCAAGGUGGUGUCAUUUCUUGGCACUUUUUGGAACUGUUACAUAAAUUACAGGUCAAGGAAGGGCCCCACAUAGGCAACAAGAUCACUGCCAGUCACCUUCAUUUUUUUAAAAAUAAAAUGGAGAAACUGGCUACUCAGCUGCUUAACAAUACUGUGGCAGAUGCCAUACAGUACUGUUGUGAUAUGAAACUCCCAGGUUUUGAACAGGCAUCUGCAACAGUAAAAUUUAUACGCAUUUUCAACUGUCUCUUUGAUGUCUGCAAUUCCAGAACACUUUUAAAAAGUGGUUUCAAGCAGGCAUUAAAUACAGAAAAUUUUAGUCCUGUAGAGGGAUUUCUUUUAAAGGCACAGAGGUACAUCAAGGAACUCACUGUUGGUCCAAAUCCUCAAGCAAUGAGAGUUGUUGACUCAAAUAAAGACAGGGUUUAUUGGAUUCCAGGUGUGUAUAUCCAGUGUUUUACACAUGUAUAGCAAAGUAGUGGGGACACACUCAUGCUCCUCUAUUGAAGUUUCUGCCUCUUUACAAAUGUUCUCAGGACCACUUGGAAAUGUUUUUUAGUGCCAUCCGAAGUCGUGGUGGUUGGAAUAACAACCCCACUGCUCGCCAGUUUGUUGCAGCAUACAAGAGGCUACUAAUUCAUAAUGAGAUCCGUGGAUCAGAAAGAGGGAAUUGUAUAACUUUGGAAGAUAUUCCCAUUCUUACUUUCAGCAGUUCCAAUGUUGAAGAUCACAUAAAUAACACUUCGGAACGGUGGCAGUUACUAAGCACGGAAAAUAGUGCAGCGACAACUGACAACGACCACGAUUACUUUGCUACUGGAAUUUAUCUCUCUGAAGUGGCAGUCCAUAUAGUAGUAAAUAUAGCUGGAUUUGUGGUGCGUCACUUAGAGAAAACCUUAAAAUGUGAACCAUGUUUAUCCAUGUUGAGAGGGGAUGGUAGCCAUGUUGCUUAUUCUCUCAUUCAUAGAAAGAGUAGGGGAUGGUUGGUUUUACCAUCAAAUGAUGAUGUUGACAUCUGUGUGUGUGUGCGCAGAAAGUGUUCAGGUGCUAUACUACAGGUAAUUCUAAAGUUCCUUUGAAAAAUCAGUUUUCCAAAUGUGUGUCUGAGGUGCUUAGUGAAUUCAUAUUCAAGCCAGUGUUUGAGUUAGCAGACCACAUGAAAAAUCAGCAUCCCUUGGACAAUCAUAUGAUACUGCUGAUUAAAGCAAUUGCCACACGAUACCUCCUGACACGGCAAAAACAUGCAGCCAAGAGAAUAAGUGAUACAUUGCAUGAAAAUAAAAUCAGGACAACCUGUACAAAACUGGUACUCUUUAAAGGUCAGUAACUGAUAUUUGUACACAGAGGUCUAGUGUGUGAGGCAUCUUGUAUAAAGCACUCAUUAUAUUGAGGCAAACUGGAAAUGUAACCUUAUUGUAAUUAAUAAAUGAUGCACAUUCUUCCUUUUCCGUUAUGUCUAUGUUGUUAUAACCAGCUACAAAAUGUUUGUGAUGUCUGUAUCUUAAAACUAUUAGUAUUAGCAUAU
This is a long non-coding RNA of Schistocerca nitens (vagrant locust), 2953 nucleotides long. RefSeq lists it as uncharacterized. The transcript is spliced from 3 exons. NCBI's taxonomy places the organism in Eukaryota, Metazoa, Arthropoda, Insecta, Orthoptera, Acrididae. The record is from RefSeq and is a predicted model, not a curated record.